UACGUAGGGUGCAAGCGUUAAUCGGAAUUACUGGGCGUAAAGCGUGCGCAGGCGGUGAUGUAAGUCAGUUGUGAAAUCCCCGGGCUCAACCUGGGAACUGCAUCUGUGACUGCAUUGCUGGAGUGCGGCAGAGGGGGAUGGAAUUCCGCGUGUAGCAGUGAAAUGCGUAGAUAUGCGGAGGAACACCGAUGGCGAAGGCAAUCCCCUGGGCCUGCACCGACGCUCAUGCACGAAAGCGUGGGGAGCAAACAGG
RNAcentral lists this ribosomal RNA (253 nucleotides) under uncultured bacterium. Its description in RNAcentral is "partial 16S ribosomal RNA". It matches the Rfam family "Bacterial small subunit ribosomal RNA", at positions 524 to 776 of the family's 1533-position model. The record is from RNAcentral.